UGAUUCAGAACCUCAGUCUCUUCCUGC
Molecule: small RNA, 27 nt
Filed under: Bombyx mori (domestic silkworm)
Lineage: Eukaryota; Metazoa; Arthropoda; Insecta; Lepidoptera; Bombycidae
Description: piRNA piR-bmo-2220229
Source: RNAcentral